Molecule: unclassified non-coding RNA, 396 nt
Filed under: fungal sp.
Lineage: Eukaryota; Fungi
Description: partial internal transcribed spacer region
Rfam family: Eukaryotic small subunit ribosomal RNA (bases 1-46)
Source: RNAcentral
AAGUCGUAACAAGGUUUCCGUAGGUGAACCUGCGGAAGGAUCAUUAACACGUAUCCAAACGUUAAACCCCCCUGUGAACCUUCAGUCGUACUCGUACGUCCGUUAGAAAAAGCAGCAAUCCCUGGUAAAUCAUCGCCGAACAGUUUUCGAUUCAGGGACGUCUGCAAGGAGCGUGCAUGUUGUGCGUGUAAGUGGCCUGGUAUCCCCAAGCAGUUAGUGUCUGAAAGUGUCACUAACGUUAUGUCUGAAAGUGUCACUACAUGUGUAAGGGACCCGGUCGUCGGCCGUGUGGGCCUCCAACGAUCGUGACUGCGUCAUAAGCCCACUUAUCACACCCCGAAGUCCUGCGGUCGAACGCCGAAACCGAAACUGUUGCCAAUGGAUAUCUUGGUUCUC